GACGAACGCUGGCGGCGUGCUUAACACAUGCAAGUCGAACGGUGAAGCGCCUUCCUUUUUGGUGGGUGUGGAUGAGUGGCGAACGGGUGAGUAACACGUGAGUAACCUGCCCCCUUCUUCUGGAUAACCGCAUGAAAGUGUGGCUAAUACGGGAUAUUCUGGGUCUGUCGCAUGAUGGGUCUGGGAAAGAUAUUGUUUCGGUGGGGGAUGGGCUCGCGGCCUAUCAGCUUGUUGGUGGGGUGAUGGCCUACCAAGGCGGUGACGGGUAGCCGGCCUGAGAGGGUGGACGGUCACACUGGGACGGAGACACGGCCCAGACUCCUACGGGAGGCAGCAGUGGGGAAUAUGGCACAAUGGGCGCAAGCCUGAUGCAGCGACGCCGCGGGAGGGAUGGAGGCCUUCGGGUUGUGAACCUCUUUCGCCAGUGAAGCAGGCCUGCCUCGUUUGUGGGUGGGUUGACGGUAGCUGGAUAAGAAGCGCCGGCUAACUACGUG
This 494-nucleotide ribosomal RNA is filed under the name uncultured bacterium. RNAcentral's name for it is "partial 16S ribosomal RNA". It matches the Rfam family "Bacterial small subunit ribosomal RNA", at positions 28 to 507 of the family's 1533-position model. The record is from RNAcentral.